UACGGGGGGAGCAAGCGUUGUUCGGAUUUACUGGGCGUAAAGGGCGCGUAGGCGGUCGUGACAAGUCACUUGUGAAAUCUCCGGGCUUAACUCGGAACGGUCAAGUGAUACUGUCGGACUAGAGUACAGAAGGGGCAACUGGAAUUCCCGGUGUAGCGGUGAAAUGCGUAGAUAUCGAGAGGAACACCUGCGGCGAAGGCGGGUUGCUGGGCUGACACUGACGCUGAGGCGCGAAAGCGUGGGGAGCAAACAGG
This 254-nucleotide ribosomal RNA is filed under the name uncultured bacterium. RNAcentral's name for it is "partial 16S ribosomal RNA". It matches the Rfam family "Bacterial small subunit ribosomal RNA", at positions 524 to 776 of the family's 1533-position model. The record is from RNAcentral.